CAGCCGCCACGGUAAUACGUAGGUGGCAAGCGUUGUCCGGAAUUAUUGGGCGUAAAGGGCUCGCAGGCGGUUUCUUAAGUCUGAUGUGAAAGCCCCCGGCUCAACCGGGGAGGGUCAUUGGAAACUGGGAAACUUGAGUGCAGAAGAGGAGAGUGGAAUUCCACGUGUAGCGGUGAAAUGCGUAGAGAUGUGGAGGAACACCAGUGGCGAAGGCGACUCUCUGGUCUGUAACUGACGCUGAGGAGCGAAAGCGUGGUGAGCGAACAGGAUUAGAUACCCCCGUAGUCCCUGUCUCUUAUAC
Molecule: ribosomal RNA, 301 nt
Filed under: uncultured bacterium
Lineage: Bacteria
Description: partial 16S ribosomal RNA
Rfam family: Bacterial small subunit ribosomal RNA
Source: RNAcentral